This is a non-coding RNA of Vicia faba (fava bean), 306 nucleotides long. The record is from the annotation of a GenBank genome assembly. Lineage: Eukaryota; Viridiplantae; Streptophyta; Magnoliopsida; Fabales; Fabaceae.
GUGAAUAGGUGUCACAAAAACCGCAACUUCUCCACAAAAACCUACUCCUUAUUUUCUGUUUUGACCAACCUUAACCUUAACCUUAACCUUCACAUUAACCUCUCUCUCUUCUCUCAUCUCACUCUCUUCAACUUUCUCUCUCUUCAAUUUUCUCUCUCCUCCACAAUCUCCCUAUUCUGGUCUCUCUUUCACUCUCUCUCCCAUUCUUCUCUUCUUCUCCCUCCCCCUUCUUCUUCUAUCUCUCUGUUCCUUCACAUCACCCUACUCUCAUCACCAUUCAUCAAAACCCUAAUUUCACUCUUCAGG